CGCCUCUUGACAAGAUAUAAGAGGUCCCGCCUGCCCAGUGACAAGAUUAAACGGCCGCGGUACUCUAACCGUGCAAAGGUAGCACAAUCACUUGUCCUCUAAAUAAGGACUAGAAUCAACGGCAUCACGAGGGUCUUACUGUCUCCUUUUUCCAAUCAGUGAAACUGAUCUUCCCGUGAAGAAGCGGGAAUAACUUUAUAAGACGAGAAGACCCCAUGGAGCUUCAAACUCAUCAGUUACCCUAUGCAAAUUACACGACAAUUUAGGGGGUUAUCUGCCAGUUUUGGGUUGGGGUGACCACGGAGAAUAGCAUAACCUCCGCAAUGAAAAAGAAUAACAUCUUUAUCUGAGAGCCACACCUCUAAGAAUUAAAAAAUUAACAUAUAAUGUUCCGAUACUUUGUAUUCGAUCAAUGAACCAAGUUACCCUGGGGAUAACAGCGCCAUCCACUUUGAGAGUUCAUAUCGACAAGUGGGUUUACGACCUCGAUGUUGGAUCAGGGUAUCCCAGUGGUGCAGCCGCUACUAAAGGUUCGUUUGUUCAACGAUUAAAACCCU
RNAcentral lists this ribosomal RNA (557 nucleotides) under Ptychadena sp. B DGM-2017. RNAcentral describes it as "partial 16S ribosomal RNA". It matches the Rfam family "Bacterial large subunit ribosomal RNA", at positions 1829 to 2597 of the family's 2925-position model. The record is from RNAcentral. Lineage: Eukaryota; Metazoa; Chordata; Amphibia; Anura; Ptychadenidae.